GAUGAAGAACGCAGCGAGAUGCGAUAAGUAAUGUGAAUUGCAGAAUUCAGUGAAUCAUCGAAUCUUUGAACGCACAUUGCGCCCCCUGGUAUUCCGGGGGGCAUGCCUGUCCGAGCGUCAUUACAACCCUCAAGCUCAGCUUGGUGUUGGGCCCCGCCGCCCCGGCGGGCCCUAAAGUCAGUGGCGGUGCCGUCCGGCUCCGAGCGUAGUAAUUCUUCUCGCUCUGGAGGUCCGGUCGUGUGCUCGCCAGCAACCCCCAAUUUUUUUCAGGUUGACCUCGGAUCAGGUAGGGAUACCCGCUGAACUUAAGCAUAUCAAUAAGCGGAGGA
This 329-nucleotide unclassified non-coding RNA is filed under the name soil metagenome. Its description in RNAcentral is "partial contains 5.8S ribosomal RNA, internal transcribed spacer 2, and large subunit ribosomal RNA". The stretch from base 1 to 120 matches the Rfam family "5.8S ribosomal RNA", at positions 35 to 154 of the family's 154-position model. The record is from RNAcentral.